CACAGUCAGUAUAAUUUGAAAACACCUUCCCUUGCUUUGACCGCUCACUCGAGUCCGGGCAGUGAGCGGAGGAGGGAGUUCUGCGGUGGCUGUAGGAUGUAGCGUGUACAGUGCGGGUGCAGCGUGUACAGUGCGGCGGAGGUGCGAGGCGACUGCGGCAUCUGCAUCAGUGACCGGCAUUCGUUGAUUUCAUGGCAGUAAGCAGAGACAAAGUUUGAGAAGACAGACAGGAAUCCUUGCGCCGUAGAAAAACCAGCACAUUGUUUCGGGGCCUUGAGUUAUGUGAAAAGGAAGAGGUAGGAAGGAGACCAGCCCCAUGGAAAAUUCUAGCUGCAUCCACGCAUUUCUCAACUGAACCUUACAAUUAUCAAGAACAAGCACUUAAAAACUACAGAUCAUUUACCAUGAUCAAGGCCUGGGAAAGGCUGAAACACAGACAACUUUAAAUAUACAGCUAUGAUCUAGAUGACAACCUGAAACAAAAUGAAAAUUGGAUUUCUAUCACAUGGACAUUCUCUAGUUUUUAUUACUGUAAUAAACUUUGUUUGAUGGUAUCAAAUAAGAUAUUAUUUAACCACAUGUGCACUUGACUUGGAGUAUUCUUUGUUUUCUGGCUACGUAAACAAGAAUUGCAAGAUCACAUAUUUUUCUAAGGCAGAACAUUUUAUGAGAAACAGAUAUUUUUAAUUCCAUAGACCUCUCAAGUAUUACACUUCUGAUUAUGAAUUAUAAGCUCUGAAUAAAGUGCAAUAUUCAGCAUUGUAUUUGUAAUGUAUUGGUUAUUCUACAUAGACUUGCAGAAAUGGCAUAUCUUCUAGAGAUAGAUUUACAGGU
Molecule: long non-coding RNA, 834 nt
Organism: Hyla sarda
Lineage: Eukaryota; Metazoa; Chordata; Amphibia; Anura; Hylidae
Exons: 6
Source: RefSeq, a predicted model, not a curated record